CUGCUGGGCACUAUGGGGGUGGAACCCAAAACAACAGGAUAUAUUUUUUUAUAUAUAUCCUUGUCUGUUUUGGGUUCCACCCCCAUAGUGCC
Non-coding RNA from Pelobates cultripes (western spadefoot toad), 92 nucleotides. The record is from the annotation of a GenBank genome assembly. Lineage: Eukaryota; Metazoa; Chordata; Amphibia; Anura; Pelobatidae.